RNAcentral lists this ribosomal RNA (352 nucleotides) under uncultured bacterium. RNAcentral's name for it is "partial 16S ribosomal RNA". It matches the Rfam family "Bacterial small subunit ribosomal RNA", at positions 338 to 682 of the family's 1533-position model. The record is from RNAcentral.
CCUACGGGAGGCAGCAGUGGGGAAUAUUGCGCAAUGGGCGAAAGCCUGACGCAGCGACGCCGCGUGAGGGAUGAAGGUCUUCGGAUCGUAAACCUCUGUCAGCAGGGAAGAACGGUCACUGUGCUAAGCAGCAGUGAAUUGACGGUACCUGCAAAGGAAGCACCGGCUAACUCCGUGCCAGCAGCCGCGGUAAUCCGGAGGGUGCGAGCGUUAAUCGGAAUUACUGGGCGUACAGCGCUCGUAGGCGGUAUGGCAAGUCAAAGGUGAAAUCCCCGCGCUCAACGUGGGAACUGCCUUUGAAACUGGCACACUGGAUUGUGUGAGAGGAUAGUGGAUUUCCAGGUGUAGGCGU